Molecule: unclassified non-coding RNA, 380 nt
Filed under: uncultured bacterium
Lineage: Bacteria
Description: contains 16S-23S intergenic spacer region
Source: RNAcentral
UCCGAGUUGACCCCGGCAGUCUCUCACGAGUCCCCACCAUUACGUGCUGGCAACAUGAGACAAGGGUUGCGCUCGUUGCGGGACUUAACCCAACAUCUCACGACACGAGCUGACGACGGCCAUGCAGCACCUGUGUUCUGGUUCUCUUUCGAGCACUCCCAAAUCUCUUCGGGAUUCCAGACAUGUCAAGGGUAGGUAAGGCUUUUCGCGUUGCAUCGAAUUAAACCACAUCAUCCACCGCUUGUGCGGGUCCCCGUCAAUUCCUUUGAGUUUCAACCUUGCGGUCGUACUCCCCAGGCGGGGCACUUAAUGCGUUAACUGCGGCACGGAAGGGGUCGAUCCCCCCACACCUAGUGCCCAUCGUUUACAGCCAGGACUAC